Molecule: ribosomal RNA, 253 nt
Filed under: uncultured bacterium
Lineage: Bacteria
Description: partial 16S ribosomal RNA
Rfam family: Bacterial small subunit ribosomal RNA
Source: RNAcentral
UACGUAGGGUGCAAGCGUUGUCCGGAAUUAUUGGGCGUAAAGGGCUUCUAGGCGGUUUGUCACGUCGACUGUGAAAACUCGGGGCUCAACCCCGAGCCUGCAGUCGAUACGGGCAGACUAGAAUUCGGUAGGGGAGAUCGGAAUUCCUGGUGUAGCGGUGAAAUGCGCAGAUAUCAGGAGGAACACCGGUGGCGAAGGCGGAUCUCUGGGCCGAUAUUGACGCUGAAGAGCGAAAGCGUGGGGAGCAAACAGG